GACGAACGCUGGCGGCAUGCCUAAUACAUGCAAGUCGAGCGAACAGAUGAAGUGCUUGCACUUCUGACGUUAGCGGCGAACGGGUGAGUAACACGUAAGGAAUCUACCUAUAAGCGGGGGAUAACAUUCGGAAACGGGUGCUAAUACCGCAUAAUAUCUUCUUCCGCAUGGAAGAAGAUUGAAAGACGGCUCUGCUGUCACUUAUAGAUGACCUUGCGGUGCAUUAGUUAGUUGGUGGGGUAAUGGCCUACCAAGACGAUGAUGCAUAGCCGACCUGAGAGGGUGAUCGGCCAAAUUGGGACGGAGACACGGCCCAAACUCCUACGGGAGGCAGCAGUAGGGAAUCUUCCGCAAUGGGCGAAAGCCUGACGGAGCAACGCCGCGUGAGUGAAGAAGGCCUUCGGGUCGUAAAACUCUGUUACAAGAGAAGAACAAAUUGUAGAGUAACUGCUACAGUCUUGACGGUAUCUUAUCAGAAAGCCACGGCUAACUACGUGCCAGCCGCCGCCGUAA
Molecule: ribosomal RNA, 513 nt
Filed under: uncultured bacterium
Lineage: Bacteria
Description: partial 16S ribosomal RNA
Rfam family: Bacterial small subunit ribosomal RNA
Source: RNAcentral